UUUUCAGAAACGGUUCAAAUGAAUGCGGAAAAUGUUGUCUAUAGAGCUUGCACUUUUAAAAAAUUCUUCCGGGAGAAUUUCAAAAUGUUUCCUCAGAACAAUUUUAAAACAAUGUCCCCGAACUUUUUCAUUCUCGGGUGACGUAUUAUUAAUAAUAUUCUUUACGCCAAUAACGGAAAAUACAAUGAAGAAUGUUUUUUUCAUAGCGUGUGGGCAUCGAACAUAUUAUUUUACAAAAGUAAUAUCACGAACCGAAACGACGACAUUAUCGAUCGUCUGUAUAAUACGUAUGUUAAGUUCAUAACCUAAGUCCCUAUUUAUAUUAUACGUUUAUAACAUGUAACAUGUCCGUUCACGUUGUUGUCGAAGACGGUCCUAAAACGUUUUUUAUUGUGUUUAAUUGACGGAGGGGAAGAGAAAAAACGAGCGUACAGUCAUCACGGACAUCACUCGUACCGCAAGCCAGAUGCCGAAUUUCCUCAUUCUACGGUGAAAACACUUGACCACGUAACGGCCGCGGCGGUGUUCGAGUGCCCUCGGUAAAUUAAUACCGCAGCGUAAAAAUACACCGUCCCCGGAAAUUAUUAUACGGAACUUUACACUGUUCGCGGGUCAACACACCGCGAUCACAAACUCUUACAAGUCGUAAAAACAAAUCGAAAAAAAAAUAUAUUCUAGACUGCAGUGUGUAUAUUUUAUACGGGCGUAGGUAUUUAUUUUUAUGGUUUCGCCGGGUCGUGUCGCAGUAUAGUGAGAAAAUAACGCGAUUACUAGGUAGGCAGGUACAUUUUACCCGCGUUAUGAUAUUAUUUUCAAAACGGAAUACGAGCGUAAAAACGCACGCGGUUAAGAAGUACGGACAAGUAUAAUAAUAAUUCGCGGGAGAGAUUCGCGAAGCCACUGUAAUGUUAUAAUAAUACGCCCAUUUUAUGUCCCCGGAGAGUGAACUUCGGAAGAUUAAACUCGUUUAACGCGUGGUAUAGGUAAAUUUUGUGCUGCAGGCAAUAAUAAAAAAAUAUACAAUAAAGUAUAAUAGUUCUUUUGAAACGACGUGGAAAACGUUCAUAGAAACCAAAAGCCACAACCGGCCGCGGCUGGCGUUCGAAAAAUAUGCAAAAAAUUACACCUACUGUACAGGGCGUUAUAAAUUACAUGUUACUGCAGUUAUGAUACAGUCAGUAUACUGGGCAUUCUUUCCGUACUCUCAAAACUCGCAUAAAAUAUCGUAUGCAUAAUAUUUUGUCCAUCAGCGACACGUCCAAUUGCAGUUCUUCUUCGACGAUUUGUUUCGUCGUAUAUAAUUGCGGUAUACAUUUACUUACCGAUAAUUUAUAUUAUUUAGUCACCGAUUGCCAUACGACUCUGUGAGCACUCGGUCGAUGACAAAAAACAAAAAAAAAAAAAAAUCGUAAACAAAAUGAGUCGUUUCAGUCAUAAUAGCCAAUACGGUAAACAUUACUCAACGCUACGUUUUUGUUCUUAUUCAGUGUAUUUAUAUAUAAUGCACGUAUAUAUAUAUAUAUAUUGUAAUAAGAUCGAUCGUUUGGUAUUUUGUUUGCUGUUCGGUUAUUCGUUCGUCGUUUAUAAGGUAUAAAAUGUAAUAAAAUACGUAUUGAUAAUCUCGCGCAUUACGUGCCUGUAAUAUGUACAAUAAAUUAUUUUUAUAUUAUAAUAAGUA
Molecule: non-coding RNA, 1678 nt
Organism: Cinara cedri
Lineage: Eukaryota; Metazoa; Arthropoda; Insecta; Hemiptera; Aphididae
Source: the annotation of a GenBank genome assembly